UCACUUCUCAGCCUUUUGGCUAAGAUCCAGUAUAGUAU
RNAcentral lists this small nuclear RNA (38 nucleotides) under Cervus elaphus hippelaphus. Lineage: Eukaryota; Metazoa; Chordata; Mammalia; Artiodactyla; Cervidae. The record is from RNAcentral.